AGUGAACGCUGGCGGUAGGCCUAACACAUGCAAGUCGAACGGCAGCACAGUAAGAGCUUGCUCUUACGGGUGGCGAGUGGCGGACGGGUGAGGAAUACAUCGGAAUCUACUUUUUCGUGGGGGAUAACGUAGGGAAACUUACGCUAAUACCGCAUACGACCUACGGGUGAAAGCAGGGGAUCUUCGGACCUUGCGCGAUUGAAUGAGCCGAUGUCGGAUUAGCUAGUUGGCGGGGUAAAGGCCCACCAAGGCGACGAUCCGUAGCUGGUCUGAGAGGAUGAUCAGCCACACGGGAUCUGAGACACGGUCCAGACUCCGACGGGAGGCAGCAGUGCGGAAUAUUGGACAAUGGGCGCAAGCCUGAUCCAGCCAUACCGCGUGGGUGAAGAAGGCCUUCGGGUUGUAAAGCCCUUUUGUUGGGAAAGAAGAGCAGCAGGUUAAUACCCCGCUGUUCUGACGGUACCCAAAGAAUAAGCACCGGCUAACUUCGUG
RNAcentral lists this ribosomal RNA (492 nucleotides) under uncultured bacterium. Its description in RNAcentral is "partial 16S ribosomal RNA". It matches the Rfam family "Bacterial small subunit ribosomal RNA", at positions 29 to 507 of the family's 1533-position model. The record is from RNAcentral.